Molecule: ribosomal RNA, 292 nt
Filed under: uncultured bacterium
Lineage: Bacteria
Description: partial 16S ribosomal RNA
Rfam family: Bacterial small subunit ribosomal RNA
Source: RNAcentral
GUGCCAGCCGCCGCGGUAAUACGUAGGGGGCUAGCGUUGUCCGGAAUCAUUGGGCGUAAAGCGCGUGUAGGCGGUCCGGUAAGUCCGCUGUGAAAGUCGGGGGCUCAACCCUCGGAUGCCGGUGGAUACUGUCGGGCUUGAGUACGGAAGAGGCGAGUGGAAUUCCUGGUGUAGCGGUGAAAUGCGCAGAUAUCAGGAGGAACACCAAUUGCGAAGGCAGCUCGCUGGGACGUUACUGACGCUGAGACGCGAAAGCGUGGGGAGCAAACAGGAUUAGAUACCCCUGUAGUCC